This 645-nucleotide ribosomal RNA is filed under the name Ochromonas sp. CCMP1393. Its description in RNAcentral is "partial Eukaryotic large subunit ribosomal RNA". It matches the Rfam family "Eukaryotic large subunit ribosomal RNA", at positions 344 to 983 of the family's 3401-position model. The record is from RNAcentral. Lineage: Eukaryota; Chrysophyceae; Chromulinales; Chromulinaceae.
ACAAGUACCGUGAGGGAAAGAUGAAAAGCACUUUGGAAAGAGAGUUAAAAGUACGUGAAAUUGUCGAAAGGGAAGCACUUGAAGUCAGCCAUGCUGCUUGAGACUCAGCCUGGCUUUUGCUUGGUGUAUUUCUCGGUAGCAAGCCAGCAUUGGUUUGUGUCGUCGGAGAAGCGUAUGGGGAAUGUGGCAUCCUCGGAUGUGUUAUAGCCCUGUGCAGGAUACGACGACGUAGACCAAGGAACGCAGUGUGCCCUCUGGGCGGGUCUUCGGACACCUUCACACUUAGGAUGCUGGCGUAAUGGCUUUAAGUGGCCCGUCUUGGAACACGGACCAAGGAGUCUAACAUGUGUGCGAGUUUUUGGGUGGCAAACCCAUGAGCGUAAUGAAAGUGAAUGCAGGUGGGAUCCGCAAGGAGCACCAUCGACCGACCAUGUCCCUUCGGGGUAAAGGUUUGAGUGUGAGCAUUUAUGUUGGGACCCGAAAGAUGGUGAACUAUGCCUGAAUAGGGCGAAGCCAGGGGAAACUCUGGUGGAGGCUCGUAGGGAUUCUGACGUGCAAAUCGAUCUUCAAAUUUGGGUAUAGGGGCGAAAGACUAAUCGAACCAUCUGGUAGCUGGUUCCUGCCGAAGUUUCCCUCAGGAUAGCA